Molecule: transfer RNA, 75 nt
Filed under: Candidatus Veblenbacteria bacterium RIFOXYA2_FULL_43_9
Lineage: Bacteria; Candidatus Vebleniibacteriota
Also listed under: 1 other name
Description: tRNA-Phe
Rfam family: tRNA
About the family: Transfer RNA (tRNA) molecules are approximately 80 nucleotides in length. Their secondary structure includes four short double-helical elements and three loops (D, anti-codon, and T loops).
Source: RNAcentral
GGGGAGGUAACUCAGCUGGUAGAGUACUGGACUGAAAAUCCGGGUGUCCCUGGUUCGAAUCUAGCUCUCCCCCCA